AACGAACGCUGGCGGUAUGCUUUACACAUGCAAGUCGAACGAAUAUGGACCUAGCUUGCUAGGGACCCAGUUAGUGGCACACGGGUGAGUAACGCGUGGGAACCUACCUUUUAGUACGGAAUAGUCCUGGGAAACUGGGUUUAAUACCGUAUACGCUCUUCGGAGGAAAGAUUUAUCGCUAAAAGAUGGGCCCGCGUUAGAUUAGUUUGUUGGUGAGGUAAUGGCUCACCAAGACUACGAUCUAUAGCUGGUUUGAGAGGAUGAUCAGCCACACUGGGACUGAGACACGGCCCAGACUCCUACGGGAGGCAGCAGUGGGGAAUAUUGGACAAUGGGCGAAAGCCUGAUCCAGCAAUACCGCGUGAGUGAUGAAGGCCUUAGGGUUGUAAAACUCUUUCAGUAGGGAAGAUAAUGACGGUACCUACAGAAGAAGCACCGGCUAACUCCG
Molecule: ribosomal RNA, 448 nt
Filed under: uncultured Rickettsiaceae bacterium
Lineage: Bacteria; Pseudomonadati; Pseudomonadota; Alphaproteobacteria; Rickettsiales; Rickettsiaceae
Description: bacterial SSU rRNA
Rfam family: Bacterial small subunit ribosomal RNA
Source: RNAcentral